CUAACUGCGAUAAGUAGCGUGAAUUGCAGACGCUUUGAACGUUAAACUUUCGAACGCACAUUGCGCCAUAGGAGUCCUACCCUAUGGCACAUCUGGUUGAGGGUCGUGAUCAAAAACAGCCAGCCAGUUGCUGUUAAUGUUUGUCCAACUGGUGGAUCACUCGUCCGGCUUACCGGCCUCUAGUCGGAAGUGGUCUGCCAUCAUGACACAGAGGACGUCAGGCCCCUUGGGGCGGACACCUACCACACGGAUGGGUUGUCGGCUGCAGAGCUGGCCCAUGCCGUCUCUUGUGCACCAUCCAUACGUACAUUAGCGUAAGUGCCUGGAGACGGUGGGGCGCGGUCCGACUCCUCCAUACGUGCAUGGUUCUUGAAAGCGUGUUAUCGCUUUCCCGACCUCAACUCAGGUGUGAUUACCCGCUGAACUUAAGC
This 431-nucleotide unclassified non-coding RNA is filed under the name plant metagenome. Its description in RNAcentral is "partial contains 5.8S ribosomal RNA, internal transcribed spacer 2, and large subunit ribosomal RNA". The stretch from base 1 to 106 matches the Rfam family "5.8S ribosomal RNA", at positions 49 to 154 of the family's 154-position model. The record is from RNAcentral.